RNAcentral lists this ribosomal RNA (636 nucleotides) under uncultured bacterium. RNAcentral's name for it is "bacterial SSU rRNA". It matches the Rfam family "Bacterial small subunit ribosomal RNA", at positions 35 to 676 of the family's 1533-position model. The record is from RNAcentral.
GUUGGCGGCGUGGAUUAGGCAUGCAAGUCGUGCGAGAAGUUUUUUUGCUUGCAAAGAAACGGACAGCGGCGAAAGGGAGAGUAACGCGUGGAAAUCUACCCUCAGAUCCGGGAUAGCGUCGGGAAACUGGCAGUAAUACCGGAUAAUGUUUACGGACCAAAGGUGUAAUUCCGUCUGAGGAUGAGUCCGCGUCCUAUUAGCUUGUUGGUGGGGUAAUGGCCUACCAAGGCAUCGAUGGGUACCGGGUGUGAGAGCAUGGCCCGGCUCACUGGGACUGAGACACUGCCCAGACAUCUACGGAUGGCUGCAGUCGAGAAUCUUCGGCAAUGGACGAAAGUCUGACCGAGCGACGCCGCGUGUGGGAUGAAGGCCCUCGGGUUGUAAACCACUGUCAGUUGGGAGGAAGUUCUAGAGGGCAAUCUCUCUAGUUUGACCGAUCUUCAGAGGAAGUACGGGCUAAGUUCGUGCCAGCAGCCGCGGUAACACGAACCGUACGAACGUUAUUCGGAAUCACUGGGCUUAAAGCGUGCGUAGGCGGCUUGGCAAGUUGGGUGUGAAAGCCCUCGGCUCAACCGAGGAAUUGCGCCCAAAACUGCCAAGCUUGAGGAAGAUAGAGGUGAGCGGAACUGAUGGUGG